AGAUGGCCCGGGGGUUGGCCUGGCUGGGGGUGCGUCUGUACCUUGUCUUUGGGGUUCCUCCUUGUGGGACCGGUUCUUGCCGAGCUUCAUGGCGGAGAACACACUUCUCCCAGCUCUGUGAGGCGAGCCGCCAGAAUGAGAUGGAGGGAGAUGGACGCCGGGAGGAAGACACACAAACACAGGAGAGCAAAACCCGAGACAACACCGAUCCUGGGAGGGACAUACGCUUCUCUUCAUUCAACCCAAGAAGAGACUGAGGCUCAGAGCUAGAGUUGAAGCACACUGCUCCUGCCCCCUCUGCCAGAACGGCUACGUCUUGAGUCCUGUGGGAUUGCACUUCUCUGUCAGUGGCGAUCCCAUCCUGACCGUUCGGAACUUCAGUGAAAAGUUCCCAGGGCCUGCACUUGUAGGUGUACGUAUGGGCCGCGUGCCAACGCAGUGUGCAGAUGGGGGUGCCAUCUGUGAAGAGCCCCACAGACGGUGCCCAGGCUUACAGAGAAGGCGCUCACUCACAAAUGGUCUUAGCAUCAACGCAUUUGGGAAGAGGCUGCUGUGAAAGUUAAUGACUGGUAAUGAAACAUCACACAGGUCAAUGACUUGCGGCUUUCUGACGCUGGUCCCGAGGACCCACCCAAGUGGAAAAGGGCCUGGGGCUUCCCCUGGGCAGUUAUGGCCCUUGAUUUUGAAAGUCACUUUAUUUCUUAAAACAAACGUAUUUGGAAGCAGAGAUUGAGACUUUAAAAAAAAAACAACUAUACUAUCCUACAAUUCUCUCCCUGAAAUCAAUCAAAGGAGAAGCCCCUCUUCCCAGACCCUGCCUCACUAACCAUCUCCGGUGGACAGGUAUACAGGCGGUACUCCUGUGUGCCUGGGGGUAUCUCAAAAUGAAGAUUUAUCCCUUAAUGAAAAAUGUGGAACGUGUAGGGUGAAUGUAAUGUCCAGAAUUCGUACGAAUUUUGUUCUUCAGUUCAUCUGGACAGUGUGCACUAGAGCGUGAUGGCCUCAGCUCUCCCUGCCCUUUGGAAUUUUCUGGUCGAUGACACAUCAGAAGUUGACCAUAGAAACAGUCUCUUCUGCCUAGUGCUGCACCGCUUCCCAGAAACGGCGUGCCUGCUUCUCUCGGCCAAGGGUAAAGGUUAGUUUUGAAAUAAAUGUUAAUUUAGUCAGGGAUGUUCGAAGAUCAUCGGCUUGUAUCAAAGACUUAGAUUUCCAAAAUGUGUAAUUCUUUGAUGAGGUUGCUGGUACGCAGGGGUCCUGAGUGUUUGUUCUUGUUUUUAAAUAAAAUGCGGCAGCUGG
Molecule: long non-coding RNA, 1296 nt
Organism: Neofelis nebulosa (Clouded leopard)
Lineage: Eukaryota; Metazoa; Chordata; Mammalia; Carnivora; Felidae
Exons: 2
Source: RefSeq, a predicted model, not a curated record